This 345-nucleotide unclassified non-coding RNA is filed under the name soil metagenome. Its description in RNAcentral is "partial contains 5.8S ribosomal RNA, internal transcribed spacer 2, and large subunit ribosomal RNA". The stretch from base 1 to 120 matches the Rfam family "5.8S ribosomal RNA", at positions 35 to 154 of the family's 154-position model. The record is from RNAcentral.
GAUGAAGAACGCAGCGAAAUGCGAUACGUAAUGUGAAUUGCAGAAUUCAGUGAAUCAUCGAGUCUUUGAACGCACAUUGCGCCCCCUGGUAUUCCGGGGGGCAUGCCUGUCCGAGUGUCAUUGCUGCCCUCAAGCACGGCUUGUGUGUUGGGCCUCCGUCCUCCUCCCGGGGGACGGGCCCGAAAGGCAGCGGCGGCACCGCGUCCGGUCCUCGAGCGUAUGGGGCUUCGUCACCCGCUCUUGUAGGCCCGGCCGGCGCUUGCCGACACAUCAAUCUUUUUUCCAGGUUGACCUCGGAUCAGGUAGGGAUACCCGCUGAACUUAAGCAUAUCAAUAAGCGGAGGA